Molecule: ribosomal RNA, 83 nt
Filed under: Staphylococcus simiae CCM 7213 = CCUG 51256
Lineage: Bacteria; Bacillati; Bacillota; Bacilli; Caryophanales; Staphylococcaceae
Description: Staphylococcus simiae CCM 7213 partial 16S ribosomal RNA
Rfam family: Bacterial small subunit ribosomal RNA
Source: RNAcentral
UUUUUAUGGAGAGUUUGAUCCUGGCUCAGGAUGAACGCUGGCGGCGUGCCUAAUACAUGCAAGUCGAGCGAACAGAUGAGAAG